UGGACACUGACCCUCAGGCCCGUCCAUGGAGCUGGUGGCUGACCACAGACCCCACAGCACCCCGGCUUCUGGAAUAAACCCAACCAAGCUGGCUGGAAUGUGCCCAAAGAGCCGAUGGCUUCUCAUCCCGCCAUUUUCCUCUUCUCGUAAUCUCAAAUGUCCGUUCCUGACUGGCGGGAAGCUGAGGGAGAUGGAGCUCCGGUGUGACUCCAGCUGCUGGAAAAUCCACCUCCUUCCCCAAAGUGGAAUUCAGCUUCUACUGAGAUUAAAGAUUUAGUGCUACUUUUUAUCGCUUGCCUUCAGCAUUCCAAAGUGGAGAAGAGAAAAGCCAUGAUUCAAUUAUAAACAUGAAUACAGCCCAAAACACGUCUUAUCAAGCUGUUACACAAGCAGUUCUGGACUCAGUGAGAUUGCUGGUCAGCCUUCAUUGAAGACUCUCUGCUGCUUUUUCAAGGUACAAUUUAAGCCCAUUUAAGCAUUUUUCAAAGUCUUUCUGCACAGACCACUCUUUUCUCUCUUCUCAGAACAAACUCAAAAGUGUCAUCUGGAUGUCACUGCUGUGACCCAUCCCCUGGACCUGGGCAUGGAGGAAGGGGUGACAUUUUACUCUGUUUUGCCUUGUCCCACUGCUGCCAGCCAGGACAGCCACCAAACACCUUGGGUUUGGUUUGAUGGAUCUCCUUCCAGGCAGCUUUCUGCCUGCUGCUCUGGGGAUCUAGAGGUACUGGAACAGAAGAAUCACCCAGAUGUCCCACAGCCAAAGGGUCUCUCAUGCAUUGUCCUGGAAUGCUUCCAUGUUUGGAUCCACUCAGGAGGAUCUCUGAGCUUUGCCAGGAAUGGAAGACUGGGAACUUAACACAUCAAGAAGAAAUUAAAAAUAGAGAAAUGGCUUCGCUGAAGAUACCAACAACCAUCCAUUAGUCCAAAGAAAAGAAUAUCUGAAGUUUUCUUUAUAAAUUAAACUGAAGGUUAUCUUCCAGCUCUUUAGUGAAGUUUGAUACUUCAUCAGAAGGAAAAUUAACAUGCUCAUCAGCCAGUCCAGAUUCUUAGGUGGUGUGGAGAGCUGUGUGAGAUCAUAUCCUCAGCAAAACUAUGGAAUGCUAGGAAGCGAAUCAGGAGAGCCAAUUCCUAACUCUCAUUUUAACGAUGGGGUGCCUCAUGUUAGUCAUGAAAUGUAAGCAAAUAAUAGGUGUUGCUGAAGGGCUGCUCUUACACUAUUGGCUCUUCCCUCUGAAAGAUUAAAGCAGGAGAGAACCAUUCCUUUAAGUUUUAAAUACAUUGAUUCUCUACAUAUUUCAGCUGUUUUGUGAUGGC
Molecule: long non-coding RNA, 1314 nt
Organism: Cyanistes caeruleus (blue tit)
Lineage: Eukaryota; Metazoa; Chordata; Aves; Passeriformes; Paridae
Source: RefSeq, a predicted model, not a curated record